GAUUAGUGGCGAACGGGUGAGUAACACGUGAGUAACCUGCCCUUGACUCUGGGAUAAGCCUGGGAAACUGGGUCUAAUACCGGAUACGACCAUUCCACGCAUGUGGUGGUGGUGGAAAGCUUUUGUGGUUUUGGAUGGACUCGCGGCCUAUCAGCUUGUUGGUGGGGUAAUGGCCUACCAAGGCGACGACGGGUAGCCGGCCUGAGAGGGUGACCGGCCACACUGGGACUGAGACACGGCCCAGACUCCUACGGGAGGCAGCAGUGGGGAAUAUUGCACAAUGGCGCAAGCUGAUGCAGCGACGCCGCGUGGAGGGAUGACGCUUCGGGUUGUAACCUCUUUCAGUAGGGAAGAAGCGUAAGUGACGGUACUGCAGAAGAAGCGCCGGGCUAACUACGUGCCAGCAGCCGCGGUAAUACGUAGGGCGCAAGCGUUAUCGGAAUUAUUGGGCGUAAAGAGCUCGUAGGCGGUUUGUCGCGUCUGCUGUGAAAGACCGGGGCUCAACUCCGGUUCUGCAGUGGGUACGGGCAGACUAGAGUGCAGUAGGGGAGACUGGAAUUCCUGGUGUAGCGGUGAAAUGCGCAGAUAUCAGGAGGAACACCGAUGGCGAAGGCAGGUCUCUGGGCUGUAACUGACGCUGAGGAGCGAAAGCAUGGGGAGCGAACAGGAUUAGAUACCCUGGUAGUCCAUGCCGUAAACGUUGGGCACUAGGUGUGGGGGACAUUCCACGUUUUCCGCGCCGUAGCUAACGCAUUAAGUGCCCCGCCUGGGGAGUACGGCCGCAAGGCUAAAACUCAAAGGAAUUGACGGGGGCCCGCACAAGCGGCGGAGCAUGCGGAUUAAUUCGAUGCAACGCGAAGAACCUUACCAAGGCUUGACAUGAACCGGAAAGACCUGGAAACAGGUGCCCCGCUUGCGGUCGGUUUACAGGUGGUGCAUGGUUGUCGUCAGCUCGUGUCGUGAGAUGUUGGGUUAAGUCCCGCAACGAGCGCAACCCUCGUUCUAUGUUGCCAGCGCGUGAUGGCGGGGACUCAUAGGAGACUGCCGGGGUCAACUCGGAGGAAGGUGGGGACGACGUCAAAUCAUCAUGCCCCUUAUGUCUUGGGCUUCACGCAUGCUACAAUGGCCGGUACAAAGGGUUGCGAUACUGUGAGGUGGAGCUAAUCCCAAAAAGCCGGUCUCAGUUCGGAUUGGGGUCUGCAACUCGACCCCAUGAAGUCGGAGUCGCUAGUAAUCGCAGAUCAGCAACGCUGCGGUGAAUACGUUCCCGGGCCUUGUACACACCGCCCGUCAAGUCACGAAAGUUGGUAACACCCGAAGCCGGUGGCCUAACCCUUGUGGGGGGAGCCGUCGAAGUGACCGUUGUUU
This 1368-nucleotide ribosomal RNA is filed under the name Arthrobacter sp. RNAcentral describes it as "bacterial SSU rRNA". It matches the Rfam family "Bacterial small subunit ribosomal RNA". Lineage: Bacteria; Bacillati; Actinomycetota; Actinomycetes; Micrococcales; Micrococcaceae. The record is from RNAcentral.